This 431-nucleotide ribosomal RNA is filed under the name uncultured bacterium. RNAcentral's name for it is "partial 16S ribosomal RNA". It matches the Rfam family "Bacterial small subunit ribosomal RNA", at positions 29 to 507 of the family's 1533-position model. The record is from RNAcentral.
AACGAACGCUGGCGGCAGGCUUAACACAUGCAAGUCGAACGUCCCGCAAGGGGAGUGGCAGACGGGUGAGUAACGCGUGGGAACAUACCCUUUUCUACGGAAUAGCUCUGGGAAACUGGAAUUAAUACCGUAUACGCCCUACGGGGGAAAGAUUUAUCGGGGAAGGAUUGGCCCGCGUUGGAUUAGCUAGUUGGUGGGGUAAAGGCCUACCAAGGCGACGAUCCAUAGCUGGUCUGAGAGGAUGAUCAGCCACAUUGGGACUGAGACACGGCCCAAACUCCUACGGGAGGCAGCAGUGGGGAAUAUUGGACAAUGGGCGCAAGCCUGAUCCAGCCAUGCCGCGUGAGUGAUGAAGGCCUUAGGGUUGUAAAGCUCUUUCACCGAUGAAGAUAAUGACGGUAGUCGGAGAAGAAGCCCCGGCUAACUUCGUG